Monodelphis domestica (gray short-tailed opossum) is the source of this 581-nucleotide long non-coding RNA. RefSeq lists it as uncharacterized. NCBI's taxonomy places the organism in Eukaryota, Metazoa, Chordata, Mammalia, Didelphimorphia, Didelphidae. The record is from RefSeq and is a predicted model, not a curated record.
CGGCUUCACUCGGCUCCGCGGGCGGCCCCCGCUCCGGCUACUCGGCACAGCCGCGCCGCCAUCUUGGGGAGCGACGUCCGCGGCUCCGCGCGGCGUGCACGCCCAUUGGCCGGUCGGGGCGCCGCCAUCACGCACCCUAGAAUGGACUACUCUUGAUUCAACGUCCCUAUGCCCAUUUUGCAGAUGAGGAAACUGAACCAGGCAGAAGUCACCCAGCUCGAAGAGGGAUCUGAGAGACUCCAGCUUCCCGUCAGUCCUUCUCCCUGAUCUGACUGAGGAAACGGAGCCCCAGGAAGGUGGAUUAAUUGGAUUUGGGAUAGCGAUCCCGGAGGCUGUAAUCCAAACCCAGGGUUUACCUUUCCAGACGAGACUACUAAACCCAUAGGAAGGAAGUGCCUUGCCUGGUCACAGGGGCUGCACUCUGGGCACCAAAUCCUCCUCCUUUCUGAGCCCUCCUGGGGAAUCAACCCCCCCACCCCACCCCCCCACCACGACCACCACCAUGGGAUGUGCUAAGAAAAUGCUCUCCUGCAGAGGGGGCACCAUUUGUUUAAAAAAUUAAUAAAAUGUAUUUCCAGAAA